AUGGCUCAGGAUGAACGCUGGCGGCGUGCCUAACACAUGCAGGUCGAACGGGACCUAUGUAGAUCAAGACUUCGGUCAAGUGAAAUUUAGGUUAGUGGCGGACGGGUGAGUAACGCGUGAGCAAUCUGCCGUAUGCAGGGGGACAACAGAGGGAAACUUCUGCUAAUACCGCAUAAGCGCACAGUAUCGCAUGGUACAGUGUGAAAAGCUCCGGCGGCAUACGAUGAGCUCGCGUCUGAUUAGCCAGUUGGCGGGGUAACGGCCCACCAAAGCGACGAUCAGUAGCCGGCCUGAGAGGGUGAACGGCCACAUUGGGACUGAGAGACGGCCCAGACUCCUACGGGAGGCAGCAGUGGGGGAUAUUGCACAAUGGAGGGAACUCUGAUGCCAGCGACGCCGCGUGGGUGAAGAAGUAUUUCGGUAUGUAAAGCCCUAUCAGCAGGGAAGAUAAUGACGGUACCUGACUAAGAAGCCCCGGCUAACUACGUGCCAGCAGCUGC
Molecule: ribosomal RNA, 500 nt
Filed under: uncultured bacterium
Lineage: Bacteria
Description: bacterial SSU rRNA
Rfam family: Bacterial small subunit ribosomal RNA
Source: RNAcentral